This is a long non-coding RNA of Camelus dromedarius (Arabian camel), 538 nucleotides long. RefSeq lists it as uncharacterized. The record is from RefSeq and is a predicted model, not a curated record. Lineage: Eukaryota; Metazoa; Chordata; Mammalia; Artiodactyla; Camelidae. The transcript has 3 exons.
CAUUCCCAACAGCAGCAGACCUCAUCUGUUAAUACCCCCUUUGCCUUCCAGCCUAUACCUGUUUCUCUGCAAAGCCCUUGUCCUCCUCCUACACAGAUUCCAUGACGACUGCAGAACCUCCUCCUUGAACUGCAGGGAUGGAGAACAGAUCCUGGAAUUAUGGAAGCCAGACCUUUACCUCCCUGGCAGGAGACAGAAAGAGACUUCUCCAGGGGAAUCAAGCCCAAGAAGAGAAACCCAAAGACGCUGUCAUGGAGGGCUCCCCAAUGAACAGCCCACCCAGAUCAGGCCAUCCACAAGAAGCUCCAGGGAUAUGAGCUCCACCAAAACAGGAGAGAGUAAACCAAGAAAGGAAGACACGAAAUAUAGGAGGCAGGACGAUUCAAAACAGGAGAGGUGAGAAAAAUCCCAGGAGGGGGCGGCAUGGAAGUCCAGGCUAACGGGGAUGCACUGGAGAAAGACAACCGGUCUCUGUGGGAACUUGGCUUUAUUUUUGCCACAUGUUACCACGUCCAGUGCUCUUCAUUCUGUUGCGUAG